This 468-nucleotide ribosomal RNA is filed under the name uncultured bacterium. RNAcentral's name for it is "partial 16S ribosomal RNA". The stretch from base 52 to 468 matches the Rfam family "Bacterial small subunit ribosomal RNA", at positions 39 to 507 of the family's 1533-position model. The record is from RNAcentral.
GGGGGGGGGGGGGGGGGGGGGGGGGGGGGGGGGGGCGGGCGGGGGGGGGCGGCGGUGGGGGGGGGCGCGGGUGGCGAACGGGUGGGUAACAGGUGAGUAACCGGCGCUUGACUUUGGGAUAACUUCAGGAAACGGGGGCUAAUACCGGAUAGGAGCUCCUGCUGCAUGGUGGGGGUUGGAAAGUGUCGGCGGGUGGGGAUGGACUCGCGGCUUAUCAGCUUGUUGGUGGGGUAGUGGCUUACCAAGGCUUUGCCGGGUAGCCGGCCUGAGAGGGUGACCGGCCACAUUGGGACUGAGAUACGGCCCAGACUCCUACGGGAGGCAGCAGUGGGGAAUAUUGCACAAUGGGCGGAAGCCUGAUGCAGCAACGCCGCGUGCGGGAUGACGGCCUUCGGGUUGUAAACCGCUUUCGCCUGUGACGAAGCGUGAGUGACGGUAAUGGGUAAAGAAGCACCGGCUAACUACGUG